RNAcentral lists this ribosomal RNA (740 nucleotides) under uncultured bacterium. RNAcentral's name for it is "bacterial SSU rRNA". It matches the Rfam family "Bacterial small subunit ribosomal RNA", at positions 49 to 790 of the family's 1533-position model. The record is from RNAcentral.
CUACCAUGCAGUCGAGCGAAGUGAGAUUAGAAGAAAUCUUCGGAUGGAAUCUAAACUUAUCUUAGCGGCGGACGGGUGAGUAACGCGUGAGGAACCUGCCUUUCACAAAGGGAUAGCCUCGGGAAACUGGGAUUAAUACCUUAUGAAACUAUAAUAUCGCAUGGUAAGAUAGUUAAAGCGAAAGCGGUGAAAGAUGGACUCGCGUCCCAUUAGUUAGUUGGUGAGGUAAAGGCUCACCAAGGCAGCGAUGGGUAGCCGGCCUGAGAGGGUGAACGGCCACACUGGAACUGAGAGACGGUCCAGACUCCUACGGGAGGCAGCAGUGGGGAAUAUUGCACAAUGGAGGGAACUCUGAUGCAGCGACGCCGCGUGAACGAAGAAGGCUUUCGGGUCGUAAAGUUCUGUCCUUGGGGACGAUAAUGACGGUACCCAAGGAGGAAGCCCCGGCUAACUACGUGCCAGCAGCCGCGGUAAUACGUAGGGGGCGAGCGUUGUCCGGAAUUAUUGGGCGUAAAGGGUUCGCAGGCGGUUACAUAAGUCAGAUGUGAAAGCCAUAGGCUUAACCUAUGUAAGCAUUUGAAACUGAGUAACUUGAGUUAAGGAGAGGAAAGUGGAAUUCCUAGUGUAGCGGUGAAAUGCGUAGAUAUUAGGAGGAAUACCAGUGGCGAAGGCGACUUUCUGGACUUAAACUGACGCUGAGGAACGAAAGCGUGGGGAGCAAACAGGAUUAGAUACCCUGG